RNAcentral lists this ribosomal RNA (497 nucleotides) under uncultured bacterium. Its description in RNAcentral is "partial 16S ribosomal RNA". It matches the Rfam family "Bacterial small subunit ribosomal RNA", at positions 28 to 507 of the family's 1533-position model. The record is from RNAcentral.
GAUGAACGCUGGCGGCGUGCCUAAUACAUGCAAGUCGAGCGAACGGACGAGAAGCUUGCUUCUCUGAUGUUAGCGGCGGACGGGUGAGUAACACGUGGAUAACCUACCUAUAAGACUGGGAUAACUUCGGGAAACCGGAGCUAAUACCGGAUAAUAUUUUGAACCGCAUGGUUCAAAAGUGAAAGACGGUCUUGCUGUCACUUAUAGAUGGAUCCGCGCUGCAUUAGCUAGUUGGUAAGGUAACGGCUUACCAAGACAACGAUGCAUAGCCGACCUGAGAGGGUGAUCGGCCACACUGGAACUGAGACACGGUCCAGACUCCUACGGGAGGCAGCAGUAGGGAAUCUUCCGCAAUGGGCGAAAGCCUGACGGAGCAACGCCGCGUGAGUGAUGAAGGUCUUCGGAUCGUAAAACUCUGUUAUUAGUGAAGAACAUAUGUGUAAGUAACUGUGCACAUCUUGACGGUACCUAAUCAGAAAGCCACGGCUAACUACGUG